Molecule: ribosomal RNA, 509 nt
Filed under: uncultured Desulfobulbus sp.
Lineage: Bacteria; Pseudomonadati; Thermodesulfobacteriota; Desulfobulbia; Desulfobulbales; Desulfobulbaceae
Description: bacterial SSU rRNA
Rfam family: Bacterial small subunit ribosomal RNA
Source: RNAcentral
CGCCUUGCCAGCCCGCUCAGAACUUAAAGGAAUUGACGGGGCCCGCACAAGCGGUGGAGCAUGUGGUUUAAUUCGAUGCAACGCGAAGAACCUUACCUGGUCUUGACAUCCCGGAGACCCUUAGGAAACUAGGGGGUGCUUCCAUCUGGAAGAAUCUGGAGACAGGUGCUGCAUGGCUGUCGUCAGCUCGUGUCGUGAGAUGUUGGGUUAAGUCCCGCAACGAGCGCAACCCUUGCCUUUAGUUGCCAGCAGUUCGGCUGGGCACUCUAAAGGGACUGCCGGUGUUAAACCGGAGGAAGGUGGGGAUGACGUCAAGUCCUCAUGGCCUUUAUGACCAGGGCUACACACGUACUACAAUGGCCGAUACAAAGGGCAGCGACACUGCGAGGUGAAGCCAAUCCCGUAAAAUCGGUCUCAGUCCGGAUUGGAGUCUGCAACUCGACUCCAUGAAGUUGGAAUCGCUAGUAAUCGUGGAUCAGCAUGCCACGGUGAAUACGUUCCCGGGCCUU